AAAAAAGGAAAAAAAGGAAAAAAAUGGAAAAAAAGAAAAAUGGAAAAAAAAAGAAAAAAAAAGGAAAAAAGGAGAAAAAAGAAAAAAAGGAGAAGACUAUUACUCGACUAUGCCUGUGGAUCUUGAAGAUGUUGAGGUAUCCAAAAAUUUGAGAGAUUUACAAGGUUCCACUUUUGCUAUUAUUAGCGAAUGAGUGAAGCAAUAUGGAGCUUUUCAAGAAAGUUUCAAAUGGUU
Salvia splendens (bonfire salvia) is the source of this 234-nucleotide long non-coding RNA. RefSeq lists it as uncharacterized. The transcript is spliced from 3 exons. NCBI's taxonomy places the organism in Eukaryota, Viridiplantae, Streptophyta, Magnoliopsida, Lamiales, Lamiaceae. The record is from RefSeq and is a predicted model, not a curated record.